Molecule: small nuclear RNA, 301 nt
Filed under: Meriones unguiculatus (Mongolian gerbil)
Lineage: Eukaryota; Metazoa; Chordata; Mammalia; Rodentia; Muridae
Description: 7SK RNA (ENSMUGG00000000076.1)
Rfam family: 7SK RNA
About the family: 7SK was discovered as an abundant small nuclear RNA in the mid-70s but a possible function has only recently been suggested. Two independent studies have found that 7SK RNA binds the CDK9/cyclin T complex (known as elongation factor P-TEFb).
Source: RNAcentral
GGAAGUAAGGGCAAGCUGGCUGUGGUGUCUUUAAUCCAAGUGAUCACUGUGCUGGAUUCGUCUGAUCUGGCUGGCUAGGCAGCUGUCGGCAUCCUCCCUCACCUCUCCAUGUACCUCUCUCUCCAAGUGUAUGCUCUUCUGAAGAGGAUGACCUUCCCUGUGAGGAGAGGGCCAUUGUUCGGCCAGGGUCCAGGAUGGAAAAGUAGCUGCAUGUUCCUGGUGGAGCCUCUAAACAAACAGAGCCCCGUGGCCCCAUGGAGCACACCCUGCCUCCAGAUGCGCUGUCUUUGGACUGCUCUCU